CCUACGGGUGGCAGCAGUGGGGAAUAUUGCACAAUGGGCGCAAGCCUGAUGCAGCCAUGCCGCGUGUAUGAAGAAGGCCUUCGGGUUGUAAAGUACUUUCAGCGGGGAGGAAGGCGAUAAGGUUAAUAACCUUGUCGAUUGACGUUACCCGCAGAAGAAGCACCGGCUAACUCCGUGCCAGCAGCCGCGGUAAUACGGAGGGUGCAAGCGUUAAUCGGAAUUACUGGGCGUAAAGCGCACGCAGGCGGUCUGUCAAGUCGGAUGUGAAAUCCCCGGGCUCAACCUGGGAACUGCAUUCGAAACUGGCAGGCUAGAGUCUUGUAGAGGGGGGUAGAAUUUCAGGUGUAGCGGUGAAAUGCGUAGAGAUCUGAAGGAAUACCAGUGGCGAAGGCGGCCCCCUGGACAAAGACUGACGCUCAGAUGCGAAAGCGUGGGGAGCAAACAGGAUUAGAUACCCGGGUAGUC
Molecule: ribosomal RNA, 465 nt
Filed under: uncultured bacterium
Lineage: Bacteria
Description: bacterial SSU rRNA
Rfam family: Bacterial small subunit ribosomal RNA
Source: RNAcentral